CCCACAUCACAGCGGGUCCUGACGUAGGAUGCCCCAGUGGCCUUCUCUGGAGGCUCCGUCGUGUUCCGGCAUCUGGUCUAUCCCGUCUUUCCUUCCCACUCACCUCCAUCGCUGGCUCUGUGGCGAGUGCUCCUUUCCUGGCAUCACGGUGGCCCACACAUGAAGACAGGGCUGCAUCUAAUCCUAGAGAGGGCUGCUUUUCCCAGGCGUCUCUUUCUUAGGAGCCCUCCAGAAGCUCCUCUAGCCCUGGCCCGUGCCGCUUUGGCCACAGCUGAGUCAGGUGCCGAGUGGAUCACUGGCGAGGUACAGCUGGAUCCAGAGGCUCAUCCCUGAUGGAUCACAGAGAAAACCCUCGGUUGUCCUCCACCCAGGAUGGAACUGCUUCUAACUGUUCUGGAGAAUUCCUGGCAAUCCCAGUUCCUCUGCUGCUGCUGCUGCUGCUGCUUCUGCUGCUCCCAAGAAAGUGGGACGCCUCCCUUCCUGUACUCUUCCCUUCCCUGACCUGGCAGAGCCCAGCCAACAGCAUUGGUCAGUUCUGCCUUUGAUAAAGAAAAAUGUCGAAGUUUCCCUCUGUCACAUAAAAUGAAGAUGUGGGUGCUGUGUGUUGCUUUCCGUUCAGCAGUUUCUCAGCGGCCUGGCCAGCACACCACCAUGAAGGCAUUGAUUUAUUCCAUCUAAUACACAGCACUGCUUAUUAGUGCUCUCAAUCUGACAAGAAAUAUUGAGCCUACCGCCGAGGUUUUACAAAAAUAUGAAUACAUCCCUAUCUGGACUCUGAGCUAAGAGAGCAUUUUGCCCACUGAAUGGGAAACCGAGACAGGGAAAUGACAAGCGACUGUGCUGAGGCUCGGGUGGGCCCUGCUUGUCCUUCAUUGCCUCCUCCAGCUUAUCUUGCCUGGACGCCUCCUCUGAAAUCCUCACUGUAUUAUUCAGGACUCUGGGUUGCGAGUGACAGAAACCCAACUCAAAUGAGCAUGAGCAAAAACAAGGGAAUUGGCUGGGCUUAGUGGCUCACACCUGUACUCGCAGCACUUUGGGAGGCCGAGGGAGGUGAAUCACCUGAGAUCAGGAGUUCGAGACCAGCCUGGCCAACGUGGUGAAACCCCAUCUCUAUAAAAGUACAAAAAAAUUAGCCAGGCAUGGUGGCAGGCACCUGUAAUCCCAGCUACUUGAGAGGCUGAGGCAGGAGAAUCACUUGAACCCAGGAGGCAGAGGUUGCAGUGAGCAGAGAUCGCACCAUUGCGCUCCAGCCUGGGCAACAAGAGCGAAACUCCAUCUCAAAAAAAAAAAAAAAGACACACACACUCACAAGAGAAUUUACUAAGCUACAGGCAUGGCUGAAUCUGCCACACCCCACACCCCCCACGUCUCUCUAUCUCUGGGAUCUGCUGUGCUGUGGUGGAGGGGACUUCAUUCUUAAGCAGGGCCUCUCCCAUCUUAGCCCCUGGAAUUUGCAAAACACAUCCUUACUGCUCAGCAGCUUCGACAGAGAGAGGAUGACUCUUUCCCAGACUUUUCAGUAGACAUCCUGGGAGUAAUGUUCACUAUCUUUGAUUGGAUCAGUUUUGAUCUUGGAUCUAGGGUCUAGGCUAAGGGUGUCCAAAAUCUUUUGGCUUCCCUGGGCCACACUGGAAGAAGAAUUGUCUUGGGCCACACAUAAGAUACACUAACACUGACGAUAGCUGAUGAGCUAAAAAGAGAAAGAAAGAAAAUCACAAUGCCCUAAAAAAGUUUACAAAUUCGUAUCGGGCUGCAUUCAAAGCCAUCCUGGGCUAAUGCACAGCCCACGUGCCCUGGGUUGGACAAGUAUGGUCUAGACCAAUCCCGCCACUUGAUUCUGCCUGGCCCACAACCUAAGAAUGCUAUUCACACAUUUAAAUGGUUGAAAAAAAACAAAGGAAGAGCAAUAUAUCAUGACCUGUGAAAGUUACAUGAAAUUCACGUUUCAGUGUCCAUAAAGACUUAUUGGAACCCAAGCGUGCUCAUUCCUUUAGGGCUUGUCGAAGGCCGCUUUUGUGCUACAGUGGCAGAGUUGAAUAGUCAAGGUGGACUAUAUGGCUUGCACAGCUGAAAAGAUAUUUAUUCAUCUAAAAUUUUAUUUUAAAAAUUGAUAAUGAAUAAUUUACUUAAUCAUAAAUAAAAGAUAAAAUUAAUAUUCUAUUUACUCAUCUUUAUAGAAGAAGCUUGCCAACCCCUGGUCUAGACUGUGUAGCCAGUGAGAUGCCUCAGUCGAGUGCCCAUCCUUGGAGUGGGUUGAGGCAGAGGGAGUGAACCACUCACCGAGUUGGACCAUGGCGUGACAGUGGCAGUGGGUUUCUAGCAGACAGCAGGUAUCCAUGCUGGACAGAAAGAACAAUGAGUGUCCAUGCCCCCCCACUGUCUUGGGCUGGGAUCUCCUAGAAACAGACCCUGAAACAAAUGU
RNAcentral lists this long non-coding RNA (2422 nucleotides) under Homo sapiens (human). RNAcentral describes it as "HSALNT0002043". The record is from RNAcentral. Lineage: Eukaryota; Metazoa; Chordata; Mammalia; Primates; Hominidae.